AAGUCGUAACAAGGUUUCCGUAGGUGAACCUGCGGAAGGAUCAUUCAUAAUAAGUGUUUUAUGGCACUUUUUAAAUCCAUAUCCACCUUGUGUGCAAUGUCGGUCGAUCUUUCUUCUUGGAAGAUCGGCCAAACAUCAACUUAUUUUUUUAACUCUUUGUCUGAAAAAUAUUAUGAAUAAACAAUUCAAAAUACAACUUUCAACAACGGAUCUCUUGGCUCUC
This 223-nucleotide unclassified non-coding RNA is filed under the name Mortierella sp. Its description in RNAcentral is "partial internal transcribed spacer region". The stretch from base 1 to 46 matches the Rfam family "Eukaryotic small subunit ribosomal RNA", at positions 1786 to 1831 of the family's 1831-position model. RNAcentral also lists the same sequence under 2 other names. Lineage: Eukaryota; Fungi; Mortierellomycota; Mortierellomycetes; Mortierellales; Mortierellaceae. The record is from RNAcentral.